GAGAGAGGAAGGGCGGCUGCCGCUGGCCAGCUUUUGGCCGGUGUGGAAAGUCCCCCCACCACUGGACACACAGACAUCCCAAAGGAUGUGGGGCGAGAGCUCUGGCUCUGGCACAGAAACGAGACCGCUCCGCGCAAGGGCGAUGAUGCCGCAAGGCUGAAGGUCGCGCGGGCAGGCGGAUGAAACGGCGAAACCCUGUGGGUGCAAGCCAAAAUAGGGCUGUUAAACUGGACGUCCAGCCAAGCCCGGGUAUGGCGCUAAGCUGAAUGCCGUCGUGAACAGAAGGGGGCUUACUCUCCUCACUC
This 305-nucleotide RNase P RNA is filed under the name Methanothrix sp. RNAcentral describes it as "RNase P RNA component". It matches the Rfam family "Archaeal RNase P". From Rfam's summary of the family: Ribonuclease P (RNase P) is a ubiquitous endoribonuclease, found in archaea, bacteria and eukarya as well as chloroplasts and mitochondria. Its best characterised activity is the generation of mature 5'-ends of tRNAs by cleaving the 5'-leader elements of precursor-tRNAs. Lineage: Archaea; Methanobacteriati; Methanobacteriota; Methanomicrobia; Methanotrichales; Methanotrichaceae. The record is from RNAcentral.